Molecule: ribosomal RNA, 433 nt
Filed under: uncultured bacterium
Lineage: Bacteria
Description: partial 16S ribosomal RNA
Rfam family: Bacterial small subunit ribosomal RNA
Source: RNAcentral
AACGAACGCUGGCGGCAUGCCUAACACAUGCAAGUCGAACGAGACCUUCAGGUCUAGUGGCGCACGGGUGCGUAACGCGUGGGAAUCUACCCUCAGGUUCGGAAUAACUCAGAGAAAUUUGAGCUAAUACCGGAUGAUGACGUAAGUCCAAAGAUUUAUCGCCUGAGGAUGAGCCCGCGUAGGAUUAGGUAGUUGGUGAGGUAAAGGCUCACCAAGCCGACGAUCCUUAGCUGGUCUGAGAGGAUGAUCAGCCACACUGGGACUGAGACACGGCCCAGACUCCUACGGGAGGCAGCAGUGGGGAAUAUUGGACAAUGGGCGAAAGCCUGAUCCAGCAAUGCCGCGUGAGUGAUGAAGGCCUUAGGGUUGUAAAGCUCUUUUACCCGGGAUGAUAAUGACAGUACCGGGAGAAUAAGCUCCGGCUAACUCCGUG